Spinacia oleracea (spinach) is the source of this 151-nucleotide non-coding RNA. The record is from Rfam. Lineage: Eukaryota; Viridiplantae; Streptophyta; Magnoliopsida; Caryophyllales; Amaranthaceae.
GGUCCGAUGCCACGUCGUUAAUAGCUAAUUAGCUAUGAUUUUCGAUGCUAUGAUUAGACCAAGAUUAAAUUUUAAUUAGUGUUUCGCAUUUUGAUAGGAAUCCGUUGGUCUUAUUAGUGAUUAAACGGAGCCGUUUUGUGCGAUUACAUUU